Molecule: ribosomal RNA, 441 nt
Filed under: uncultured bacterium
Lineage: Bacteria
Description: partial 16S ribosomal RNA
Rfam family: Bacterial small subunit ribosomal RNA
Source: RNAcentral
CCUACGGGAGGCAGCAGUGGGGGAUAUUGCACAAUGGGGGAAACCCUGAUGCAGCGACGCCGCGUGGGUGAAGAAGUAUUUCGGUAUGUAAAGCCCUAUCAGCAGGGAAGAAAGAAGACGGUACCUGACUAAGAAGCCCCGGCUAACUACGUGCCAGCAGCCGCGGUAAUACGUAGGGGGCGAGCGUUAUCCGGAUUCACUGGGUGUAAAGGGAGCGUAGACGGCCGUGCAAGCCAGGAGUGAAAGCCCGGGGCCCAACCCCGGGACUGCUCGUGGAACUGUGCGGCUGGAGUGCGGGAGGGGCAGGCGGAAUUCCUGGUGUAGCGGUGAAAUGCGUAGAUAUCAGGAGGAACACCGGCGGCGAAGGCGGCCUGCUGGACCGCGACUGACGUUGAGGCUCGAAAGCGUGGGGAGCGAACAGGAUUAGAUACCCGGGUAGUC